GGAGUUUUAAGUGAAGCAACAAUACAAAGCCUCAGUGAGUAAGUACAGAGUAGACACAAUAACAGGAGGACGGUACAAUGUAUAGUAAACUGGCAAGACCACAGCGUGCAGCCUGAUAUAUUACCAUAGAGAUGCCACAGAAAUAAAACAUUAGCCUCACAAAGUAAAGCAAUGGGUUGGGAUUGGACUGGAUGGGAUGGGAUUGCUGAAGAGGAAGGAGGAGACGAACAGGAAUAAACACAGAGAUGAAAAGUGGGCCGGAGUGAAAGCCGAAUGAACCAAGAUACGGGGGGUGAGCGUGCAGGAGAGAAUGCCUGGACCGUCACAGAUGCCAGCCAAG
Molecule: long non-coding RNA, 340 nt
Filed under: Sparus aurata (gilthead seabream)
Lineage: Eukaryota; Metazoa; Chordata; Actinopteri; Spariformes; Sparidae
Description: lncRNA (ENSSAUG00010012890.1)
Source: RNAcentral